AGAAAAACUGUGUGUCAAUGUGUUAAUAGUCCGUCAAGCGUUAUGGGCGUUAAAGAUCUUCGUGGUGAGGAAGAGAAAAUUGUUACCUUGCAGAGAUCGCUCUUUAGCGAUAAGAACGCCUUUUGUACCUUAAGAUAUAUUGUUAAAAUGUUUCAUUCUUUGGUAUGUUCUAUUUCUGUUUUCUUGUUGUUUCACUUUAUUGAACACCAAAAACAGUAAUUAUUAUUAUUA
RNAcentral lists this unclassified non-coding RNA (231 nucleotides) under Melitaea cinxia (Glanville fritillary). RNAcentral's name for it is "misc RNA ENSMCXG00005017583.1". The record is from RNAcentral. Lineage: Eukaryota; Metazoa; Arthropoda; Insecta; Lepidoptera; Nymphalidae.